This 99-nucleotide small RNA is filed under the name Escherichia coli. RNAcentral's name for it is "partial RtT sRNA". It matches the Rfam family "RtT RNA", at positions 1 to 94 of the family's 130-position model. Rfam says of the family: This family represents a bacterial cis-regulatory element known as RtT RNA. RNAcentral also lists the same sequence under 1 other name. Lineage: Bacteria; Pseudomonadati; Pseudomonadota; Gammaproteobacteria; Enterobacterales; Enterobacteriaceae. The record is from RNAcentral.
UUGCAUUUGAAGCCCAUGAGGAUGAGAACCUCCGGGGGCGGGGAGGUUCGACUCGAGCGAAGCGAGAGAACGUUGCGCCAGCAACGGCCCGCAGGGCGA